This 499-nucleotide ribosomal RNA is filed under the name uncultured bacterium. Its description in RNAcentral is "partial 16S ribosomal RNA". It matches the Rfam family "Bacterial small subunit ribosomal RNA", at positions 30 to 523 of the family's 1533-position model. The record is from RNAcentral.
AUUGAACGCUGGCGGUAUGCUUAACACAUGCAAGUCGAACGAUGAGAAAGAGCUUGCUCUUUCGAUUAGUGGAGGACGGGUGCGUAACGCGUAGGCAUCUACCUAUGAGUGGGGUACAACUUAGGGAAACUUAAGCUAAUACCGCAUACGCUCUACGGGGGAAAGAAGGGGAUCGCAACACCGUUUGCUAAUAGAUGAGCCUGCGUAGGAUAAGCGAGUUGGUGGGGUAAAAGCUCACCAAGGCGGGGAUCAUUAACUGGUUUGAGAGAAUGAGCAGUCACACUGGAACUGAGACACGGUCCAGACUCCGACGGGAGGCAGCAGUGGGGAAUAUUGGACAAUGGGCGAAAGCCUGAUCCAGCAAUACCGCGUGUGUGAAGAAGGCCUUAGGGUUGUAAAGCACUUUCAAUUGGAAGGAAAACCUCGAAGCUAAUACCUUCGAGUUUGACAUUACCUUUAGAAGAAGCACCGGCUAACUCCGUGCCAGCAGCCGCGGUAA